This is a long non-coding RNA of Panicum virgatum (switchgrass), 2278 nucleotides long. RefSeq lists it as uncharacterized. NCBI's taxonomy places the organism in Eukaryota, Viridiplantae, Streptophyta, Magnoliopsida, Poales, Poaceae. The transcript has 2 exons. The record is from RefSeq and is a predicted model, not a curated record.
CCAGCCACCACACAACGAAUAGGCCCAAAGCCCAAUUUGCAGCCCUAGCUGAGCUGCGCCGGAGCGGAAGCCGCGAGGUAGCCGCGGCCGCCGUCGAAGCAAGAGGGCGAGAUGUCGUUUCUGGCGCAGGAGAUGUGGUGGUACGGCGCGUGGGCGGCGAGGGGAAGCUGCCGGCGGAGCUGAUGAAGUCGGUGAAGCACAUGCUCCCUGACAACAAGGUCGUCCUGGGGCAUUGGGGCGGGCCAGGCGCGGCAUCUUCGCCGGCCGCCACAUCCAGCUCGGGAACAAGGUCUCCGAGGACGGCGGCAACAAGGCUGGUCCCCGAAGAAAAUGCACAAAUUCAACUAGAGAAUAAGAUUGCGUAGGGUGAGCUCUACCUGGGAGAGCAAGGCUGCACUGUUCAGUUGUUACCUCCCAUCCGGCCCUGCAUGGUACCAUCUUGGUAUCCGGAUUGAUUUGUGAUGUACUAACUCCGAUUACAUGCAUGUCAGUGCUGAGUUGUUUUUUUCUUCCUUCCAUGUUUCUUUAUGUGUUUUUGUUGCGGUGCAUACGCACAACAGGUUCGGUUGAAGCCUUGAAGGUAAUGCGGUGUUGAAUUUUCUUUCUUACAAUUCAUACUUUGGUUCGUAAUUUUGGUAAUGCUCUGAAAUGGCGUGUUGGUUGUGUAAUGCUUGAAUAAGUUCAGUGUUAGCUGCCUGUGCAAGGAUCAUCCUGUUGGUCCAGGUUGACAAAUUUUUUCCUGUAACGGCUGUUACCUUUUACUUCUAGAAUAUUAUGCUUAAAGUCACAGAUUGCAAAAGAAAAGCCCAACUGCUAUUUUGGUUGUCUCAAAAGCAUACUAGCAAAGAGGGCUCUCUGAUCUAAUCCUGAAAUUAUUUUCUUGAUAUAUGGAUGUACCACUUACAACUAGAUUCAAGCUACUGUAAUAAAUAGAGGAGAGAAUUCAAAUUGUCACUAUUUCUUUAUAGCAUUGGUAACAGAGAAAGAUAAUGUCGUGUUGCCAUGAGCUAAAAUAGGUUUUUGUGCUUUUCAGUUUGAGUGAAGCGCUUAUCAUGCAGGCUAUUGAUGUGCAUACUAUACUACAGAGGUAAAUAAUGUUAACAGUUGUAUUUCUUUUUGUUACUCAUGCUUUGAAGCUGCGAGUUCUGCUUGGGCAAACUGUGUUUGUAGAUGUGGGCUUUGAUUGCCCCUUUCGCUAACUCUUGAGUGGUAGGUCUUUGACUAUUUGCUCCUUCAGAACAGUGACUGACUUCUGCUAAGCAUAGGCCUUGUUCGUGUUGAAGGUGAGGUGAGAUCUGAAUUUCACGAAGCUCGUUAGCUUUAUCAUAUUCUUAUUCAAUUUCUCCCAUGGAUAAAAUGUUGUCAGAGGAGUUACCUUAUUAGACAAUCUUAUUAAUAAUCUUAGUAGAUAAGCUCAGAGAUAAUUUUUCCUCCUAUAUUCUCAGAUUGAGUGAAACGAUGCUAUGUCAUUGAUAAAUCGUGUAGUUUCUGGGUCUUAGUACAAUGAUACUUGCCUUUCUAUUUAUUUCAUCAAUGUAACAAGUAUUCUACCAUGAUGUUGCAUUCAGUUAAAAAAAGUGGAGGUUUUAAUUUACAUGAUGAUUUGAUGAUCCUAAUCACAUUGCCUGACAAUGGACAAACAGUAACACUUGACCAAUGCACUAUAUCUUUCAGCAGCCGUGUCGGGCCAGCGGCAACAUAGUGUAAUUGCCGUGGUUUUUCUGAUGCAUUUUUUGGGCCAGCGGAGUAGUGGACAAUGGCGAGGCUUUGUCAAACAUGUGGCAGCUGGUUAUUCCCAUCCUCAAACAUCUUGUAGGCGAUCUCCGCGCUGGAGGCAAGACCAGAGAGGAUCCUGAUGGGUGAUGACAGAGCUGCUGCUUCCUGAUGACUGAUGACAGAUCGAGCUGCUGCUGACCAGUCUCCGAUGGAGGGCUGCUUUGGGCAGAUGGUGAAUGGGUACAUGGACAGAUAUGCAGUGAGACUGGGGAGAUGCCUGGUGUGCUUGAAGCUGCCACCAGUUUGUGCUGUUUCUUUCGCUGAUGUAUGUGGACAAUAGAUAGUUAGGUUGUGGGAAGAUCGAUCAUUGCUGGGGUCUCAGACCUGUUUUUUCUUUUGAUUUGCUGCCUUGCUAGGUGUUGUUUUGCAUGGGCGUAAGAUGAUGUAAAACUUUUAUAUCCUGUUGCAAGGCAUGAUGGGCAAGGGAACUUAUCCUUUGAAGAACUCUAAUAAAAAAAACUACCAAUAAGCACACCUUUCAUAGAUGUGGAUUUUCUCAGAA